AUGAUUCCUCCCACAGCAAAGUCAACAGCACUGUCAACAGCACAGUCAAGGCUGAGAAUGGGAAAUUUGUCAUUAAGGGAAAGCCCAUCUCCAUCUUCCAGGAGCAAGAAUCCCACCAACAUCAAAUGGUGUGAUGCUAGUGUUGAGUAUGUUGUAGAGUCCACUGGGGUCUUAGCACCAUGAAGAAAGCUGGGGCUCACUUGAAGGGUGGGGCCAAGAGGGUCAUCAUCUCUGCUCUUUCUGUUGAUGCCAUGUUAGUGAUGGGCAUGAACUACAAGAAGUAUGACAACUCCCUCAAGGUUGUCAGCAAUGACUUCUGCAUCACCAACUGCUUGGCCCCUCUGGCCAAGGUCAUCCCUGACAACUUUGGCAUUGUGGAGGGACUCAUGACCACAGUCCAGGCCAUCACUGCCACCCAGAAGACCAUGGAUGGCCCCUCUGGGAAGCUGUGGAGUGGUGGCCAAGGGGCUGCCCAGGACAUCAUCCCUGCACUGCCACAGCUGUAGGCAAGGUCAUCCCUGAGCUGAAUGGGAAGCUCACUGGCAUGGCCUUCCAUGUCCCCACCCCCAAUGUGUCAGUUGUGGAUCUGACCUGCUGCCUGGAGAAAGCUGCCAAAUAUGAUGACAUCAAGAAGGUAGUGAAGCAGGCAUUGGACGACCCCCUCAAAGGCAUCCUGGGCUACACUGAGGACCAGGUUGUCUCCUGUGACUUUCACAGUGACACCCAUUCUUUUAUCUUCAAUGCUGGGGCUGGCAUUGCUCUCAAUGACCACUUUGUCAAGCUUAUUUCUUGGUAUGGCAACGAGUUUGGUCCACAUGACCUCCAAGGAGUAAGAGGCCCUGGACCACCAGCCCCAGAGAGAGCAGGAGGAAGAGAGAGGCCCUCAGCUUCUGGGGAGUCCUUGACCCAACUCAUCCCCUAA
Molecule: RNA transcript, 922 nt
Organism: Mirounga angustirostris (Northern elephant seal)
Lineage: Eukaryota; Metazoa; Chordata; Mammalia; Carnivora; Phocidae
Gene name: glyceraldehyde-3-phosphate dehydrogenase-like
Exons: 1
Source: RefSeq, a predicted model, not a curated record